This 301-nucleotide ribosomal RNA is filed under the name uncultured bacterium. RNAcentral's name for it is "partial 16S ribosomal RNA". It matches the Rfam family "Bacterial small subunit ribosomal RNA", at positions 509 to 807 of the family's 1533-position model. The record is from RNAcentral.
CAGCCGCCGCGGGAAAACGGAGGGUGCAAGCGUUAUCCGGAUUUAUUGGGUUUAAAGGGUCCGUAGGCGGAUCUGUAAGUCAGUGGUGAAAUCUCACAGCUUAACUGUGAAACUGCCAUUGAUACUGCAGGUCUUGAGUAAAUUUGAAGUGGCUGGAAUAAGUAGUGUAGCGGUGAAAUGCAUAGAUAUUACUUAGAACACCAAUUGCGAAGGCAGGUCACUAAGAUUUAACUGACGCUGAUGGACGAAAGCGUGGGGAGCGAACAGGAUUAGAUACCCCCGUAGUCCCUGUCUCUUAUAC